CACGGUCCAGACUCCUACGGGAGGCAGCAGUGGGGAAUAUUGCACAAUGGGCGCAAGCCUGAUGCAGCCAUGCCGCGUGUGUGAAGAAGGCCUUCGGGUUGUAAAGCACUUUCAGUCGUGAGGAAGGUAGUGUAGUUAAUAGCUGCAUUAUUUGACGUUAGCGACAGAAGAAGCACCGGCUAACUCCGUGCCAGCAGCCGCGGUAAUACGGAGGGUGCGAGCGUUAAUCGGAAUUACUGGGCGUAAAGCGCAUGCA
RNAcentral lists this ribosomal RNA (256 nucleotides) under Vibrio parahaemolyticus. RNAcentral's name for it is "partial 16S ribosomal RNA". It matches the Rfam family "Bacterial small subunit ribosomal RNA", at positions 325 to 573 of the family's 1533-position model. Lineage: Bacteria; Pseudomonadati; Pseudomonadota; Gammaproteobacteria; Vibrionales; Vibrionaceae. The record is from RNAcentral.